This is a long non-coding RNA of Poecile atricapillus (Black-capped chickadee), 883 nucleotides long. RefSeq lists it as uncharacterized. NCBI's taxonomy places the organism in Eukaryota, Metazoa, Chordata, Aves, Passeriformes, Paridae. The record is from RefSeq and is a predicted model, not a curated record. The transcript is spliced from 3 exons.
GGGUGGUCGUCGCAGGGGCCGUGUGGCUUUUUCUGUCCCCGCCUUUUUUUCCCCGUUUCUCUUCACCCUCAGGCGGCAGCGCUGUUUUUCCGCGGGCAGGGGCUCUGCAUGAGGGCAGCUGCCCCUGGCGCACCAGACUGCUUUGGGCGAGAAGGUGUGAAGUCCUCUUAAUCAUGUAGAGGCAGCACUGCACAAUGUCAUACCCAUAUCCCUGGUGAUAACACUGAGUACUGAGGUGUCGACAUCAACACAAAGCAGCAGCACAAACUCAGGUUUCCAGGUGCAAUGUCGAAAAGCCAAAGCUUCUGCGAUGCUGGGGACAGAGCCAGCUCGGGGUUGCAGCCAGGAGAGCUGGAGACACGCGCAUCUGGAGCUGGAAGAAGAGAGCUUGCAGUGAAAUAAAGCUUCUGGGCCAAGAGCUGAAAUCACUGGGGCAGGGAAAGGCAUUCUAGGGCUGGAGCUGAAAUCACUGUAGGGCUGGACUAUUGACUGUGGGCCAGGGUCAGAGACUCUAGGGGGUGAGCUGAAAUCACUGUGGGGCUGGCAUAUUGACUCGGGGGUGGGCUCAGAGACUGUAGGGGGAGAGCUGAAAUGUUGCAGAGCUGGAGCCAAGAGGAAGAUCCUGAUCCUUGGACCAGGAGAAGUUGCAGACAACAGAGUUGGAGCAAUGCAUCUGGAGCUGAAGGAACAGAGCUGGCCGUGAAAUAAAGCUUGUGGAUAAAGAGCUGAAAUGACUGGGGCAGAGAAGGGGACUCUAGGGCUGGUGCUAUAAUCCCUGUGGGGCUGGGAUAGAGACUGAACAUGGGAUUGACACUGCUGAGUGAGAUAAAUACUGCAGGAUUCAUGUGCUGAAAUAACUGUAGGUUGGUCAUAUUGGUGUUGG